RNAcentral lists this ribosomal RNA (1418 nucleotides) under Curtobacterium flaccumfaciens. RNAcentral's name for it is "bacterial SSU rRNA". It matches the Rfam family "Bacterial small subunit ribosomal RNA". Lineage: Bacteria; Bacillati; Actinomycetota; Actinomycetes; Micrococcales; Microbacteriaceae. The record is from RNAcentral.
GCAAGUAGCACAUGCAAGUCGAGCGAUGAUGCCCAACUAGCUGGGUGCGUUAGUGUCGCACGGGAGAGUCACACGUGAGUCUCCGGGAUAAGCCUCUGGGAUGAGCUUUGGUAACCGGCGUUUAAUACUGGAUAUGAUCUCUGGUCGCAUAAUGAGGUGGUGGAAAGAUAUGGUGUUUGGGCAUGUCAUCGCGUCGUAUCAGUUAGGUGUCGACGUAAUGACUCCGCAUGGCCGCCACGAGUAGCCGACCUGACACGGUGGCCGUGCGCCCUGGGACUGACUCACGCGCCAGACUCCUGCGGGAGACAGCACUCGAGAAUAGAGCGCAAUGGGCGACAGCCUGAUGCAACGGAUGCCCGCGAGGGAUGACUACCCUUGGGUUGUUAGCCUAUAAUAGUAGGGAAGAAGUGAAAGUGACGGUACCUGCAGAAAAAGCACCGGCUAACUACGUGCCAGCAGCCGCGGUAAUACGUAGGGUGCAAGCGUUGUCCGGAAUUAUUGGGCGUAAAGAGCUCGUAGGCGGUUUGUCGCGUCUGCUGUGAAAUCCCGAGGCUCAACCUCGGGCUUGCAGUGGGUACGGGCAGACUAGAGUGCGGUAGGGGAGAUUGGAAUUCCUGGUGUAGCGGUGGAAUGCGCAGAUAUCAGGAGGAACACCGAUGGCGAAGGCAGAUCUCUGGGCCGUAACUGACGCUGAGGAGCGAAAGCAUGGGGAGCGAACAGGAUUAGAUACCCUGGUAGUCCAUGCCGUAAACGUUGGGCGCUAGAUGUAGGGACCUUUCCACGGUUUCUGUGUCGUAGCUAACGCAUUAAGCGCCCCGCCUGGGGAGUACGGCCGCAAGGCUAAAACUCAAAGGAAUUGACGGGGGCCCGCACAAGCGGCGGAGCAUGCGGAUUAAUUCGAUGCAACGCGAAGAACCUUACCAAGGCUUGACAUACACCGGAAACGGCCAGAGAUGGUCGCCCCCUUGUGGUCGGUGUACAGGUGGUGCAUGGUUGUCGUCAGCUCGUGUCGUGAGAUGUUGGGUUAAGUCCCGCAACGAGCGCAACCCUCGUUCUAUGUUGCCAGCGGGUUAUGCCGGGGACUCAUAGGAGACUGCCGGGGUCAACUCGGAGGAAGGUGGGGAUGACGUCAAAUCAUCAUGCCCCUUAUGUCUUGGGCUUCACGCAUGCUACAAUGGCCGGUACAAAGGGCUGCGAUACCGUAAGGUGGAGCGAAUCCCAAAAAGCCGGUCUCAGUUCGGAUUGAGGUCUGCAACUCGACCUCAUGAAGUCGGAGUCGCUAGUAAUCGCAGAUCAGCAACGCUGCGGUGAAUACGUUCCCGGGCCUUGUACACACCGCCCGUCAAGUCAUGAAAGUCGGUAACACCCGAAGCCGGUGGCCUAACCCUUGUGGAAGGAGCCGUCGAAGGUGGAUCGGA